GGGGAUUUAGCUCAGUGAUUGAGUGCUUGCCUAGCAAGCACAAGGCCCUGGGUUCAAUCCCCAGCUCCG
Molecule: transfer RNA, 69 nt
Filed under: Rattus norvegicus (Norway rat)
Lineage: Eukaryota; Metazoa; Chordata; Mammalia; Rodentia; Muridae
Rfam family: tRNA
About the family: Transfer RNA (tRNA) molecules are approximately 80 nucleotides in length.
Source: Rfam by way of RNAcentral